Molecule: microRNA precursor, 71 nt
Filed under: Colobus angolensis palliatus
Lineage: Eukaryota; Metazoa; Chordata; Mammalia; Primates; Cercopithecidae
Description: miRNA (ENSCANG00000001530.1)
Source: RNAcentral
GAGAAUUGCUUGAGCCUGGGAGAUGGAGGUUGUAGUGAGCUGAGACCAUGCCAUUGCACCCCAGCCUGGGC